Molecule: long non-coding RNA, 296 nt
Filed under: Homo sapiens (human)
Lineage: Eukaryota; Metazoa; Chordata; Mammalia; Primates; Hominidae
Description: non-protein coding lnc-ZNF804A-1:7
Source: RNAcentral
GCUCCAUGUAAACUUCAGGAAUGAAAGAAGUUGGAAGAGGAAACAUUAGGAAUUUCCUUUCAAACUCCAAUCAAAACAGCCCAUUUGAAUAUUUUUUUAAAGUCAGUAUUACUUCAUUCAUGGGUUAAAAAUAGACCAAUACUACUGAUAACCAAAAUUUUAAAACUGUACCUAAAAAUAAUUCUAUCUUAUUGUGAAUAUAUUUGAAAUUCAACUGGGCUUGCAUUUCUGCCAUCAAACAUAUAGCCCAAAUGUCUUAGUACAACCAAUUUUUUAAGUAAUAAUAUUUAAAGAAA